This 639-nucleotide ribosomal RNA is filed under the name Escherichia coli. RNAcentral's name for it is "bacterial SSU rRNA". It matches the Rfam family "Bacterial small subunit ribosomal RNA", at positions 887 to 1526 of the family's 1533-position model. The record is from RNAcentral. RNAcentral also lists the same sequence under 1 other name. Lineage: Bacteria; Pseudomonadati; Pseudomonadota; Gammaproteobacteria; Enterobacterales; Enterobacteriaceae.
CGCAAGGUUAAAACUCAAAUGAAUUGACGGGGGCCCGCACAAGCGGUGGAGCAUGUGGUUUAAUUCGAUGCAACGCGAAGAACCUUACCUGGUCUUGACAUCCACAGAACUUUCCAGAGAUGGAUUGGUGCCUUCGGGAACUGUGAGACAGGUGCUGCAUGGCUGUCGUCAGCUCGUGUUGUGAAAUGUUGGGUUAAGUCCCGCAACGAGCGCAACCCUUAUCCUUUGUUGCCAGCGGUCCGGCCGGGAACUCAAAGGAGACUGCCAGUGAUAAACUGGAGGAAGGUGGGGAUGACGUCAAGUCAUCAUGGCCCUUACGACCAGGGCUACACACGUGCUACAAUGGCGCAUACAAAGAGAAGCGACCUCGCGAGAGCAAGCGGACCUCAUAAAGUGCGUCGUAGUCCGGAUUGGAGUCUGCAACUCGACUCCAUGAAGUCGGAAUCGCUAGUAAUCGUGGAUCAGAAUGCCACGGUGAAUACGUUCCCGGGCCUUGUACACACCGCCCGUCACACCAUGGGAGUGGGUUGCAAAAGAAGUAGGUAGCUUAACCUUCGGGAGGGCGCUUACCACUUUGUGAUUCAUGACUGGGGUGAAGUCGUAACAAGGUAACCGUAGGGGAACCUGCGGUUGGAUCAC